AGUAUACAAAUUUUUCCAUGAUAAAACAUUUAAGGUCCUACUGAGAUUUGAACUCAGGUCACUGGGGUUAAAGUCCAGUGCACUAACCACUACACUACGGAACCUUCACAUUAUAUGGAAGGUACAUGUAUGCUUUUAUGGAUCAGCUCACAAGCGAACUAUAGUAUGCAAAUGUUUUCAUGAUAAAAUAUUUUGGAACUUACUGGGAGUUGAACCCACGUCGCUGGGGUUAAAGACCAGUGCACUAACCACUACACUACUGAACCUUCAUAUAGCAUGAAAGGUACAUGUAUGCUUUUAUGGAGCAGCUCACAAACGAACAGUAUGUAUGCAAAUUUUUCCAUGAUAAAACAUUUAAGGUCCUACUGAGAUUUGAACUCAGGUCACUGGGGUUAAAGUCCAGUGCACUAACCACUACACUACGGAACCUUCACAUUAUAUGGAAGGUACAUGUAUGCUUUUAUGGAUCAGCUCACAAGCGAACUAUAGUAUGCAAAUGUUUUCAUGAUAAAAUAUUUUGGAACUUACUGGGAGUUGAACCCAGGUCGCUGGGGUUAAAGACCAGUGCACUAACCACUACACUACUGAACCUUCAUAUAGCAUGAAAGGUACAUGUACGCUUUUAUGGACAGCUCACAAGCGAACAGUACAAAUUUUUCCAUGAUAAAAUAUUUAAGGUCCUACUGAGAUUUGAACUCAGGUCACUGGGGUUAAAACCCAGCACACUAACCACUACACUAC
Syngnathus acus (greater pipefish) is the source of this 741-nucleotide long non-coding RNA. RefSeq lists it as uncharacterized. Lineage: Eukaryota; Metazoa; Chordata; Actinopteri; Syngnathiformes; Syngnathidae. The record is from RefSeq and is a predicted model, not a curated record. The transcript is spliced from 3 exons.